UUAACACAUGCAAGUCGAGGGGCAGCAUGGUCUUAGCUUGCUAAGGCCGAUGGCGACCGGCGCACGGGUGAGUAACACGUAUCCAACCUGCCGUCUACUCUUGGACAGCCUUCUGAAAGGAAGAUUAAUACAAGAUGGCAUCAUGAGUCCGCAUGUUCACAUGAUUAAAGGUAUUCCGGUAGACGAUGGGGAUGCGUUCCAUUAGAUAGUAGGCGGGGUAACGGCCCACCUAGUCUUCGAUGGAUAGGGGUUCUGAGAGGAAGGUCCCCCACAUUGGAACUGAGACACGGUCCAAACUCCUACGGGAGGCAGCAGUGAGGAAUAUUGGUCAAUGGGCGAGAGCCUGAACCAGCCAAGUAGCGUGAAGGAUGACUGCCCUAUGGGUUGUAAACUUCUUUUAUAAAGGAAUAAAGUCGGGUAUGGAUACCCGUUUGCAUGUACUUUAUGAAUAAGGAUCGGCUAACUCCGUGCCAGCAGCCGCGGUAAUACGGAGGAUCCGAGCGUUAUCCGGAUUUAUUGGGUUUAAAGGGAGCGUAGAUGGAUGUUUAAGUCAGUUGUGAAAGUUUGCGGCUCAACCGUAAAAUUGCAGUUGAUACUGGAUAUCUUGAGUGCAGUUGAGGCAGGCGGAAUUCGUGGUGUAGCGGUGAAAUGCUUAGAUAUCACGAAGAACUCCGAUUGCGAAGGCAGCCUGCUAAGCUGCAACUGACAUUGAGGCUCGAAAGUGUGGGUAUCAAACAGGAUUAGAUACCCUGGUAGUCCACACGGUAAACGAUGAAUACUCGCUGUUUGCGAUAUACUGCAAGCGGCCAAGCGAAAGCGUUAAGUAUUCCACCUGGGGAGUACGCCGGCAACGGUGAAACUCAAAGGAAUUGACGGGGGCCCGCACAAGCGGAGGAACAUGUGGUUUAAUUCGAUGAUACGCGAGGAACCUUACCCGGGCUUAAAUUGCAGAUGAAUUACGGUGAAAGCCGUAAGCCGCAAGGCAUCUGUGAAGGUGCUGCAUGGUUGUCGUCAGCUCGUGCCGUGAGGUGUCGGCUUAAGUGCCAUAACGAGCGCAACCCUUGUUGUCAGUUACUAACAGGUUCCGCUGAGGACUCUGACAAGACUGCCAUCGUAAGAUGUGAGGAAGGUGGGGAUGACGUCAAAUCAGCACGGCCCUUACGUCCGGGGCUACACACGUGUUACAAUGGGGGGUACAGAGGGUCGCUACCACGCGAGUGGAUGCCAAUCCCCAAAACCUCUCUCAGUUCGGACUGGAGUCUGCAACCCGACUCCACGAAGCUGGAUUCGCUAGUAAUCGCGCAUCAGCCACGGCGCGGUGAAUACGUUCCCGGGCCUUGUACACACCGCCCGUCAAGCCAUGGGAGCCGGGGGUACCUGAAGUGCGUAACCGCGAGGAGCGCCCUAGGGUAAAACUGGUGACUGGGGCUAAGUC
This 1435-nucleotide ribosomal RNA is filed under the name uncultured organism. RNAcentral's name for it is "16S ribosomal RNA". It matches the Rfam family "Bacterial small subunit ribosomal RNA". The record is from RNAcentral.